AAAUUCCUGAAUCAAAGAAGACAAGUAUCAACUCCAUUCAGUGAACUAAUUAGUUCUUUCCCACCCAAUUUUCCUCCCAUCCAUGACGGCCACUGCUAGGAUGAAAAGGUGCUAACCAUAGAAAGUUCCUCUGUCAAUGGCAUCCGAGUUGGCUUCUCCCAGGGCAGCCUCGCUCAAAUACUUGUCGGCUAACUGCACUCUCUUGACAUUCUCCUGCUCUUGGACCAGCAUGUUACCAUACUCGAGUAGCUUCUCCACUGUCAUCUUGGGCUG
Long non-coding RNA from Telopea speciosissima, 273 nucleotides. RefSeq lists it as uncharacterized. The transcript has 3 exons. NCBI's taxonomy places the organism in Eukaryota, Viridiplantae, Streptophyta, Magnoliopsida, Proteales, Proteaceae. The record is from RefSeq and is a predicted model, not a curated record.